UAUGGAUGACCUUUGUGACUUCAUUGAGUCAGUUAAACCAACCUCAGAGGAUGCUGGGAUUCCUUCCACCAAUUAUGAUAAAUGUCUAUUGUGAAUUGAGCAACUGGGGAAGGAUUGUGAAGGGUCUCCUGAAGAAGAUCUUCAUCUGAAGCCUACAACUAAAGUGAAAGAUUCUGUUCCGGAUUAUGCAGAAGGAAUGAAGGACGUACAAAAAUCCCCUUCAGAACAAGAUUCAGAAGUGACAUCAGAGGGAAAGAAAAAAAAUAUUGAAGGAAGUAAAAAUAAACAGCCAGAGGCAAUGCGAUGGAGACCUGCGUGUACGGGAUCUGGCCUGCAGCCUGUCCCCUGGUUCCUGGAGAUCAAUCUCUGACCAUGCGAGGGAAUAGAAUGCCGGUCCUAAGUCACCCGCUGGAGACGCCAUGGCUGGAGGUGUUUCUCGUCUGCCAUCUUGCCUGUGAAUACGGAUCUUGAUGGAGAGGCCACAACCAGAUAUUCAGGACUCCGUGAUAUGCAAAAGUAUGAAGAAAUGUCAAUUAAAGAUGGCAAAGUAGAGUGGAAAAAUAAUCCAGAAUUCACCACAAAGGAGUUCAAGCAGAGUUUUGGUGAAAUAUGUGAAAAACACAAAAUUCCUCCUCGUCCUGAUGAACAGCGUCUGCAAGAUAACUGAGGGAGGAACAAACUAAAAGGAAAUGCCCUCUAGCUUAACAGAUCAUACGCUUGGUUGUGAGGAAAAAUAUGCCUCUAAAGUGCCUGUCUCUGCAGAAGUUCACAAAUUAGACUGUGAAAAUAACAAACCUAACACUGAACAUGUUCUUAACAGAGAUGAGGCGACUUUUUAUACUGUUACAGAAAAUAAUAAUGCAAGUAACUGAGAAGUUGUUGGAGUUGAAAUGAACAAAGACCGAGAGUUGGACGUGCAAUCAACAAAAAACAUGGACCAAAAUACCACUAAUUGGAAAUUAUACCUUCAGAUUGUCCUCAUCAAAGGACAGGGUGCCGGUAACGAGCACAUAAGGUACCACCCCCAAACUCCACAUGUCUAUGAUGGGGCCGUGAUACUUUUUUCCCUCCAAGAUCUCCGGGGCUACGUAGAAAGUGGUCCCGCAAAAGGUCUGCAGUGGAGUGCCCAAAAUCAGUUAUUUUGAUGUUAUACUUCUUGUCAAGUAACAGAUUCUCUGGCUAGAGGGAAAACAUCAAAACAGAAAUAAAAUUUAACCAAAAUAUAAUUAGAACUCUGCA
This is a long non-coding RNA of Lemur catta (Ring-tailed lemur), 1239 nucleotides long. RefSeq lists it as uncharacterized. The transcript has 6 exons. NCBI's taxonomy places the organism in Eukaryota, Metazoa, Chordata, Mammalia, Primates, Lemuridae. The record is from RefSeq and is a predicted model, not a curated record.